This 401-nucleotide ribosomal RNA is filed under the name Oligosphaeraceae bacterium. Its description in RNAcentral is "bacterial SSU rRNA". It matches the Rfam family "Bacterial small subunit ribosomal RNA", at positions 1 to 408 of the family's 1533-position model. The record is from RNAcentral. Lineage: Bacteria; Pseudomonadati; Lentisphaerota; Oligosphaeria; Oligosphaerales; Oligosphaeraceae.
UUAUGGAGAGUUUGAUCCUGGCUCAGAAUGAACGCUGGCGGCAUGGAUUAGGCAUGCAAGUCGAACGGGAUGGCCCUCGGGUCAUCUAGUGGCGAAAGGGUGAGUAACACGUGAGCAACCUGCCCCCGAGUUCCGAAUAAGCAGUGGAAACGCUGUGUAAUGCGGGAUGUGGAGCACCGGUCACCUGACUGGUGCUGCAAAGAUUUAUCGCUCGGGGAUGGGCUCGCGUCCCAUUAGCUAGUUGGUGGGGUAAUGGCCCACCAAGGCUACGACGGGUAGGUGGACUGAGAGGUCGGUCACCCACACUGGGACUGAGACACUGCCCAGACUCCUACGGGAGGCUGCAGUCGAGAAUCUUCCGCAAUGGGCGCAAGCCUGACGGAGCAAUGCCGCGUGAGGGA